Drosophila serrata is the source of this 242-nucleotide long non-coding RNA. RefSeq lists it as uncharacterized. NCBI's taxonomy places the organism in Eukaryota, Metazoa, Arthropoda, Insecta, Diptera, Drosophilidae. The record is from RefSeq and is a predicted model, not a curated record.
AACAAUACCUUAAACAAUAAUACAAAAAUUUUGCCGCGUUCGGACGUGAGUCGCGGAUGAACGCCACUUCGUGAUUGGCACGCUCCAAACAACAACAACAACUAUUGGGACUCUAUUGAGAGUGCGUGAUUUUCGUAGCUUGCAUAUCUCAAUUCUUAUUUAGAAAAAAAGCCAACGCAGCAGCCAAGGAAAUAGAAAAAGAACUGUUAAAGUUUCGAAAUUGUGUGGCUUGAAUGUGGCCA